UUGGGCAAUCUUACUUUCGUCCUCUUCUCGUAUCUUCAGAUGUCACAACGUUGGAGUGGUUCAUGAGAUAAGAUAAAUAAAACUAGUCAGGAACUCCCUUACUAUGUAUAUCAUUCCUAUCUCAAUGAUAUCCCAUCACUCAUCUUCUAUAUACUCCAACUAUCUCAAUCUCCUUAGUAUAUGCAUAUAUCCUAAGAAAUCAAAAAUCCUACUCUCGACUUGUCACUCAAGUAGGGCUAGACUAAUAACAAUCAAGCACAUAGACAUACAUAGACACAUAAGGCACAUAGAAACACAUAUACAUAUCGCAUACAAACAUCAUUCUGCAUUUUCUCAAAUUAAAAACUUAACCAAUUUCACUUCGAAAAUUUGGUGGGUAGUUGGCUGAUACACUAAGGUAUUUACCAUAAAAAUUUGGAAAUCAAAACAUUAGGGGAAACUACUGAAAAAGGUGACUCUCAGGGUUGCCCUUCAAAAACAGUAGGUUCAAAAGAGUUGCAAAAUGACUCCACACUCAACAUACAAGCAAACAUACUCAAACUCCAUACUUCUUUAAUGAAAACUCUUCAAAACUCAUUUUAAAUUCUUAUAACGCUCAAGAACAUCAAUACAUAAACAUUUGACUCAUUAGACUCGGCUCGGUGGUCAGAGCAGAGAUUUCUCGGUAGCUAGAGUAGUGUGAGUUUAACAGACUGAGCAGAAUCAGCUCGGACGCCAGAGCAGAAUAGCUCGGCAGAGCAGAGAAUAAUAACUCGUCAGAGCAGAGCAGAAAAGCUCAACAGGCAGAGCAGAAAAGUUUGGCAGAGCAGAGCUGAAUGACUCGGCAGAGCAGAGCUGAAUGUCUCAGAAGAGCAGAGCUGAAUGACUCGGCAGAGCAGAGCUGAAUGACUCGGAAAAGCAUAGCUGAAUGACUCGGCAGAGCAGAGCUGAAUGACUCGGUCAGAGCAUAGCAAAAUGACUCGGUCAGAGUAGAGCAAAAUGACUUGGUGAGAGCAGAGCAAAAUAUCUUGGCAGAGCAGAGCAAAAUGACUCGGUCAGAGCAGAGUAAAAUGUCUCGGCAGAGCAGAGUAGAAUAGCUUGCCAGACCAGAACAGAAAUAGCUCGCCAGAGCAUAACAAAAACAGCUCGCCAGAGCAGAACAGAAACAGCUCGGUAGAGUAGAAAAGAAACAGCUCAGCAGAGCAGAAAAUAAACAUCAAACCAACCUUAGAUCUAUCAAUACAAGCCACUUAAACACAUACAUAAAUCAUCAAUUAGCAAUUUAAAGCAUAGAGACACAUAUACCUAAUUUUCAUCGAACUAACUCAUUCAAAAAUUCCAUCCAUUACUUCCAAUCAUCAAUCCAAUCCAUCAAUUAUCAUAUUAGUCAUCUCAUCAACUCAUACUCAUCAUCAAUUCAUCAUUUAAUCCAUAGACUCAAGAAUUCCCAAUUUUUAGGCAAACUAACCUAAGUGAAAAUUCACAUCUCAUGACAAAACUUUACAAUACACAUAAGAAUCAUCUUAAAACACCUUAGUAAGCAUAAAUCUCAUCCCAAUUUAAGAAAAGAAAGAGAAAAAUUUUUGAAGGGGAAAAACUCCCUAUUUUCGAAAAUUAGAGAAAAGGGGUAGGGGUGUUUUCAUGCUUCAAUCAUGCAUAUACACAUAUAUCUAACUCACAUAUGAUUAGAUCAAAAAAUAUAUUCUUCUCUCUAAACUUCAAGCUCAAACCUUCUAAAAUCUCUUUGAAAUCAAGUGUAGAAAGUGUUUAGGGCUUGAUUUAGUGAAGGAUUAUGCCAUAGAUGUGAUUUUGGAAAGCUUGGAAGGUCUCUCUAAUGGAGGUUCAUGAAUGAAGGAGAGAUGAGGGAGAGAGAAAGAGAGAGGGGCGAGAGGUUGAGGGUGAGAGGUGAGAGAAAAAUUUGCUUUG
This 1905-nucleotide long non-coding RNA is filed under the name Salvia miltiorrhiza (redroot sage). RNAcentral's name for it is "long non-coding RNA (SMIL_LNC008617)". Lineage: Eukaryota; Viridiplantae; Streptophyta; Magnoliopsida; Lamiales; Lamiaceae. The record is from RNAcentral.